CAUUCUUCGGAAUGAGUGGCGCACGGCUGAGGAACACGUGACUAACCUACCCCGGCGUGGGGGAUAACGGGUCGAAAGACUCGCUAAUCCCGCAUACGAUCCGCCUCGGCGGAGGAAAGCCGUAAGGCGCACUGGGCGGGGGUCGCGUCCCAUUAGAUAGUUGGUGUGGUAAUGGCGCACCAAGUCGAUGAUGGGUCUCUGGUCUGAGAGGACGACCAGACAGAUUGGGACUGAGACACGGCCCAAACUCCUACGGGGGGCAGCAGCAAGGAAUUUUCGGCAAUGGGCGCAAGCCUGACCGAGCAACGCCGCGUGGAGGAUGACGGCUCUUGGGUUGUAAACUCCUUUUGGGGGGGACGAUAAUGACGGUACCCUCCGAAUCAGGCCCGGCUAACUACGUGCCAGCAGCCGCGGUAAUACAUAGGGGCCAAGCGUUGUCCGGAAUUACUGGGCGUAAAGCGUGGGUAGGUGGUCGGUGUUGUGCCGCGUGAAAGCGCCGGAGUAAUGCCGGCGAGGUCGCGGUAGACACACGGACUCGAGGCUCGCAGAGGAACGUGGAAUUCCCGGUGUAGUGGUGAAAUGCGUAGAUAUCGGGAGGAACACCAGUGGCGCAAGCGGCGUUCUGGGCGAGACCUGACACUGAGCCACGACGGCGUGGGGAGCAAACAGGAUUAGAUACCCUGGUAGUCCACGCAGUAAACGAUGCAUACCAGGUGUGGGAUGGCGUUCGCGUCGUUCCGUGCCGCAGCUUACGCGAUGAGUACGCCGCCUGGGGACUA
RNAcentral lists this ribosomal RNA (779 nucleotides) under uncultured bacterium. RNAcentral describes it as "bacterial SSU rRNA". It matches the Rfam family "Bacterial small subunit ribosomal RNA", at positions 69 to 882 of the family's 1533-position model. The record is from RNAcentral.